UACGUAGGGUGCGAGCGUUGUCCGGAAUUACUGGGCGUAAAGAGCUCGUAGGUGGUUUGUCACGUCGUCUGUGAAAUUCCGGGGCUUAACCUCGGGCGUGCAGGCGAUACGGGCAAUACUUGAGUGCUGUAGGGGAGACUGGAAUUCCUGGUGUAGCGGUGAAAUGCGCAGAUAUCAGGAGGAACACCAAUGGCGAAGGCAGGUCUCUGGGCAGUAACUGACGCUGAGGAGCGAAAGCGUGGGGAGCAAACAGGAUUAGAUA
RNAcentral lists this ribosomal RNA (262 nucleotides) under uncultured prokaryote. RNAcentral describes it as "partial 16S ribosomal RNA". It matches the Rfam family "Bacterial small subunit ribosomal RNA", at positions 524 to 784 of the family's 1533-position model. The record is from RNAcentral.